AAUACUGUUUGCUGUCUUAGUAAAUUGGAUUGCAUAAUUUUGUCCCUUGAAAAUCUGUUACUUAGGGCACAUUGCUCAUUUAUUUAAGGAAUCGCAUAUCAUGCAAACAGAAUACGGCACCGUAAAAUGGUUCAACAACGAAAAAGGCUUUGGCUUCAUUUCUCCUGAAAACGGCGGCAAAGAUCUUUUCGUUCACCACUCCGACAUUCUUGGUUCAGGCUACAAAUCUCUAGAAGAAAACCAACGUGUUUCUUUCGAGCCAGCCCAAGGCCAAAAAGGUCCACAAGCUAAAUCCGUACAAAAAGUUUAAUUUUUGCACGAGUCAAAAAACCCGC
Molecule: small RNA, 335 nt
Filed under: Paenalcaligenes hominis
Lineage: Bacteria; Pseudomonadati; Pseudomonadota; Betaproteobacteria; Burkholderiales; Alcaligenaceae
Description: cspA thermoregulator
Source: RNAcentral